This 316-nucleotide unclassified non-coding RNA is filed under the name uncultured fungus. RNAcentral's name for it is "partial contains small subunit ribosomal RNA, internal transcribed spacer 1, and 5.8S ribosomal RNA". The stretch from base 1 to 73 matches the Rfam family "Eukaryotic small subunit ribosomal RNA", at positions 1759 to 1831 of the family's 1831-position model. Lineage: Eukaryota; Fungi. The record is from RNAcentral.
GCAAACUUGGUCAUUUAGAGGAAGUAAAAGUCGUAACAAGGUUUUCGUAGGUGAACCUGCGAAAGGAUCAUUACCGAGUUAGGGUCUCUCCAGGCCCGACCUCCCAACCCUUUGUUUACCCGACCUCUCGUUGCUUCGGCGGGCCCGUCCUAGGACCGCCGGAGGGCCGUGAAACGUCCUCUGGCCCGCGCCCGUCGGUGGCCAACAAACAAAAUCUUUAUGAAAAACGUGUCUUGACCUGAGUAUCGAUUCUUUAAUGAAAAUCAAAACUUUCAACAACGGAUCUCUUGGUUCUGGCAUCGAUGAAGAACGCAGC